GCGGAAAAUGAGUUAUAUUAAAAAUUGCCGAGUAAUCGGCUAUGACACCAGAGGCGCUGCGAAAUAGAGAUUUCGGACCCGGGGGCGGUACCCGGCACCUCCACCAAAAAUAUUAUCGGGGGUGAAACAGGUUUGACGGGGUUUAAUAAAGGUUGUCGUUGUGUUCGGUGAGAUACCACCGUUAUCGGUUCAAGUCAAAAUAAAUGCUAACGAUAAUGAAUUAGCACCCGUUGCUUUGGCUGCUUAAUUGCAGUUGCAACAAACGCGAAUUCCUGCGGUCUUGGUUGACGGCAGGUGGGGAAGGAGCCGCCCAGCAACAGAACGGCUC
Molecule: transfer-messenger RNA, 328 nt
Filed under: bovine gut metagenome
Description: Alphaproteobacteria transfer-messenger RNA
Rfam family: Alphaproteobacteria transfer-messenger RNA
About the family: Bacterial tmRNA, also known as 10Sa RNA or SsrA, is named for its dual tRNA and mRNA-like properties. Its role is to liberate the mRNA from a stalled ribosome.
Source: RNAcentral